Molecule: long non-coding RNA, 353 nt
Organism: Cucurbita maxima (winter squash)
Lineage: Eukaryota; Viridiplantae; Streptophyta; Magnoliopsida; Cucurbitales; Cucurbitaceae
Exons: 3
Source: RefSeq, a predicted model, not a curated record
UUCUGAUCAUUGCUUCAUAACUCACUACCUAUUUCUUUUAAUCCGACUCAUCAAGUUCUCGUGGUCAGCUUCUCAGGGAACAAUCUCACUAGGAGCUCAUAAACAUCCUGAAAAAAUCUACCUUCAACUGCUCAAAAUCAGUACUGCAAAGCGACCACAACACAGCAGCAGCAUUCUCCUGGUUUCGUGGAGAACCAGUUCUGAUGAACUCUAAAAGAAUUGCUGUCGGCUCAGUUUGCCUUAUUGCCAUCUUCCCUUCAUGAUUGAAAGAUUGAAAAUAGCAGCGGCUGCAUCCUUCUUUCCUCUGGUAGUACCUUCACAAAGCAAACUGAUAAGAGAAGGAAUUGCCCGGG